GCAUAUCAUAGCGGAGGAAAAGAAACCCAACAGGGAUUGCCCCAGUAACGGCGAAGUGAAGCGGCAAUAGCUCAAAUUUGAAAUCUGGCCCUUUCAGGGUCCGAGUUGUAAUUUGUAGAGGGUGCUUUGGCGUUGGCUGUGGUCUAAGUUCCUUGGAACAGGACGUCGCAGAGGGUGAGAAUCCCGUAUGUGGCCGCCAGUCUUCGCCGUGUAAAGCCCCUUCGACGAGUCGAGUUGUUUGGGAAUGCAGCUCUAAAUGGGAGGUAAAUUUCUUCUAAAGCUAAAUAUUGGCCAGAGACCGAUAGCGCACAAGUAGAGUGAUCGAAAGAUGAAAAGCACUUUGGAAAGAGAGUCAAAAAGCACGUGAAAUUGUUGAAAGGGAAGCGCUUGCAGCCAGACUUGCCUGUAGUUGCUCAUCCGGGCUUUUGCCCGGUGCACUCUUCUAUGGGCAGGCCAGCAUCAGUCCCGGCGGUUGGAUAAAUGCCUGUUGAAUGUACCACUCUUCGGGGUGGACUUAUAGCCUCGGGCGGCAUACAACCAGCUGGGAUUGAGGUCCGCGCAUCUGCUAGGAUGCUGGCGUAAUGGCUGUAAGCGGCCCGUCUUGAAACACGGACCAAGGAGUCUAACAUCUAUGCGAGUGUUUGGGUGUCAAGCCCGAGCGCGUAAUGAAAGUGAACGGAGGUGGGAACCCCUCGGGGUGCACCAUCGACCGAUCCUGAUGUCUUCGGAUGGAUUUGAGUAAGAGCAUAGCUGUUGGGGACCCGAAAGAUGGUGAACUAUGCCUGAAUAGGGUGAAGCCAGAGGAAACUCUGGUGGAGGCUCGCAGCGGUUCUGACGUGCAAAUCGAUCGUCAAAUUUGGGCAUAGGGGCGAAAGACUAAUCGAACCAUCUAGUAGCUGGUUCCUGCCGA
Molecule: ribosomal RNA, 910 nt
Filed under: Preussia australis
Lineage: Eukaryota; Fungi; Ascomycota; Dothideomycetes; Pleosporales; Sporormiaceae
Description: LSU rRNA
Rfam family: Eukaryotic large subunit ribosomal RNA
Source: RNAcentral